This 253-nucleotide ribosomal RNA is filed under the name uncultured bacterium. RNAcentral describes it as "partial 16S ribosomal RNA". It matches the Rfam family "Bacterial small subunit ribosomal RNA", at positions 524 to 776 of the family's 1533-position model. The record is from RNAcentral.
UACAGAGGGUGCGAGCGUUAAUCGGAAUUACUGGGCGUAAAGCGUGUGUAGGCGGCUUUGUAAGUCGGAUGUGAAAGCCCCGGGCUCAACCCGGGAAGUGCACUCGAUACUGCGAAGCUUGAGUACUGGAGAGGUUGGUGGAAUUCUCGGUGUAGAGGUGAAAUUCGUAGAUAUCGAGAGGAACACCGGUGGCGAAGGCGGCCAACUGGACAGAUACUGACGCUGAGACACGAAAGCGUGGGGAGCAAACAGG